UAGAUAGUUCCAUAUCAUUCCAUUCCAUGCUUACACUUUAGUUUACAUAAAAUACUUGCAUCAAAGUUAUGUUAUGGUAGAGAUGGAACUCCGUUCGAGUUCGUUGUUCUAAGCCAUUUGGAGUGUUCUUAUGGCUAGACGUGGUCGUUGUACCUUGGAAGAUGAUUGCCGAAAAAUUGUUAGCACCAAUGCAAGAUAGAUUCAUCUUAAGGACAAAGUGCCCAACACUUGCCUCGGUCAAUCCUAUCUCACGUUGAUUCUUUCUAAUUUCUUUUUUCGUAUUUGAUUUUAGAAAGUUAGUAACAUUCUUUGGUUAAUGUAGGUUUGAACUAAAGAAUGG
This 340-nucleotide long non-coding RNA is filed under the name Olea europaea subsp. europaea. Lineage: Eukaryota; Viridiplantae; Streptophyta; Magnoliopsida; Lamiales; Oleaceae. The record is from RNAcentral.